GUAUAAAAUACGUAUACACCGGGAAUAAUCCGGCGUUGGCGUGCAAGUUUGAAUGAAUCUCUUGUCGUUUUUGUUUUUUUCUCAGCUUCCUCGUCCGAUCAAAUCUUCCUUUGAUAGCGAUGGAUGUGUUAUGUAUGUUACAAAGCUGGUGAACCAACUUUAACACGCCUUAAUGGAUGCCCCACCGCAUCAAUUUCAGAAUUUUACUACUACUUCUCUGGAAACUGGAAAGGUUAAUAAAUGUAUUUGCUGGUUUGAUUUCAAGUUUUAAUUCCGAUUGAUUUUUUGGGUUUAUUAUAUAAAGUUUGCAAUUUUUGAGUAAUUUAAGGGAUCUUUCUGGGUAGAGCUAUAUGGAGGACA
Long non-coding RNA from Arabidopsis thaliana (thale cress), 360 nucleotides. RefSeq annotates it as other RNA. The record is from RefSeq. The transcript has a single exon. NCBI's taxonomy places the organism in Eukaryota, Viridiplantae, Streptophyta, Magnoliopsida, Brassicales, Brassicaceae.